UGGGCUGUAGCUCAGUGGCAGAACACUUGCCUAGUGUGCAUGAAGUCCUGGGUUCAAUCCCCAGUGCUGCAA
RNAcentral lists this transfer RNA (72 nucleotides) under Cricetulus griseus (Chinese hamster). It matches the Rfam family "tRNA". Rfam says of the family: Transfer RNA (tRNA) molecules are approximately 80 nucleotides in length. The record is from Rfam by way of RNAcentral. Lineage: Eukaryota; Metazoa; Chordata; Mammalia; Rodentia; Cricetidae.